This 253-nucleotide ribosomal RNA is filed under the name uncultured bacterium. Its description in RNAcentral is "partial 16S ribosomal RNA". It matches the Rfam family "Bacterial small subunit ribosomal RNA", at positions 524 to 776 of the family's 1533-position model. The record is from RNAcentral.
UACGAAGGGGGCUAGCGUUGCUCGGAAUCACUGGGCGUAAAGGGUGCGUAGGCGGGUCUUUAAGUUAGGGGUGAAAUCCUGGAGCUCAACUCCAGAACUGCCUUUGAUACUGAAGAUCUUGAGUUCGGGAGAGGUGAGUGGAACUGCGAGUGUAGAGGUGAAAUUCGUAGAUAUUCGCAAGAACACCAGUGGCGAAGGCGGCUCACUGGCCCGGUACUGACGCUGAGGCACGAAAGCGUGGGGAGCAAACAGG